UAAGCAACAGCUGGCCAGUAACGCCAGUAACGCCAGGAACGCCGUCGGGUGUGACGUCAUUCCCAGCGCCGACCUCCGACUUCCGAGGGGAGCUUCACUGAGAGGAAGCCUCUCUUUUGCAGGAAGACCCUGAUCACAGUCACACCUGGAAGCGGCACAGUACAACCACAGCCUGAUCUGCUGGCCACUAAGCAGCUACCCUGGAGCUGUUAAUUAUUCUAUUCUAAUUAAAUCACUCCUUUGUUUCGCUUGUCCAA
Molecule: long non-coding RNA, 257 nt
Organism: Micropterus dolomieu (smallmouth bass)
Lineage: Eukaryota; Metazoa; Chordata; Actinopteri; Centrarchiformes; Centrarchidae
Exons: 2
Source: RefSeq, a predicted model, not a curated record